AACGAACGCUGGCGGCGCGCCUAAUACAUGCAAGUCGAGCGAGAAGGUGUAGCAAUACACUUGUAAAGCGGCGAACGGGUGAGGAAUGCAUGGGUAACCUACCCUCGAGUGGGGAAUAACUAGCCGAAAGGUUAGCUAAUACCGCAUACGUUUCCGGAACUUCGGUUUCGGAAAGAAAGCAAUACCGUGGGUAUUGCGCUCCUGGAUGGGCUCAUGUCCUAUCAGCUUGUUGGUGAGGUAACGGCUCACCAAGGCUUCGACGGGUAGCUGGUCUGAGAGGACGAUCAGCCACACUGGCACUGCGACACGGGCCAGACUCCUACGGAGGCAGCAGUAAGGAAUAUUGCGCAAUGGACGAAAGUACUGACGCAGCGACGCCGCGU
This 383-nucleotide ribosomal RNA is filed under the name uncultured bacterium. RNAcentral's name for it is "bacterial SSU rRNA". It matches the Rfam family "Bacterial small subunit ribosomal RNA", at positions 29 to 402 of the family's 1533-position model. The record is from RNAcentral.